GUCUGCACUAUGCAGACUGGCAGAAUUCUGGUAUGAGUGAAUCAGAGCAGAGUAAAUUGUAGCAGACCAGCAAAAACGUGCUUUAUUCCAGUAUUAAUCAUCAAUAGAAUUAUUAGUAUAUUUUUAAUUAGUUGCUGGUUUUAAAAUUGACUAUUCCUGUAUAUCUGUUGUUUUCUAUAAGGGCCGUUGUUAUGCAUACCAUAACAAAAACGGCAGGAAUACUGAGGAAGUCUACAACUUCAAGAUGCAGGCCCCAAUGACGUCCCAGUGUGAUGCAAAGGCUGUCUGGCAGGCUCAUAGACAUCUCCUGUUAACUGAAAGAGAAGCCUUUAAAAUAGUUGUCCAUUUCGACCACACUGUCUGCUUCCCAUUUCUCAGUGUCUGCACAAAAACAGUGACUUUUCCACCUCAAGUCUUUUGACGAGUUUUAAAAACAGUUAUUUUCAUUUAUCUGAAUUGUGGUUCAGAAUUUCACAGAAUCUAAUACACUUGACUAUGUGUUUCAAAGAUAUUUGCAAAACCAUCAGUCUUUUGUACAAAACACAUUCAAUGGUCAAACAUUAAAAAAUGAAGCUUUACAAAA
Oryzias latipes (Japanese medaka) is the source of this 583-nucleotide long non-coding RNA. RefSeq lists it as uncharacterized. Lineage: Eukaryota; Metazoa; Chordata; Actinopteri; Beloniformes; Adrianichthyidae. The record is from RefSeq and is a predicted model, not a curated record.